CCUACGGGUGGCAGCAGUGGGGAAUAUUGGGCAAUGGGCGCAAGCCUGACCCAGCAAUGCCGCGUGAAGGAAGAAGGCUUUCGGGUUGUAAACUUCUUUGACAGGGGAAGAGCAGAAGACGGUACCCUGCAAACAAGCCACGGCUAACUCCGUGCCAGCAGACGCGGUAAUACGGAGGGUGCAAGCGUUGUCCGGAUUUACUGGGAGUAAAGGGCGGGUAGUCGGGAAGGCAAGUCAGAUGUGAAAUCCAGGGGCUCAACCUGCGAAUUGCAUUUGAAACUGGUUUUCUUGAGUACCGGAGAGGGGGGCAGAAUUCCUGGUGUAGCGGUGAAAUGCGUAGAUAUAAGGAGGAACACCAGUGGCGAAGGCGGUCUGCUGGACGGAGACUGACGGUGAGGCGCGAAAGCGUGGGGAGCAAACAGGAUUAGAUACCCUGGUAGUC
Molecule: ribosomal RNA, 442 nt
Filed under: uncultured bacterium
Lineage: Bacteria
Description: partial 16S ribosomal RNA
Rfam family: Bacterial small subunit ribosomal RNA
Source: RNAcentral